Molecule: ribosomal RNA, 271 nt
Filed under: uncultured prokaryote
Description: partial 16S ribosomal RNA
Rfam family: Archaeal small subunit ribosomal RNA
Source: RNAcentral
UGUCAGCAGCCGCGGUAAUACCGGCAGCCCGAGUGAUGGCCGAUCUUAUUGGGCCUAAAGCGUCCGUAGCUGGCCGCACAAGUCCAUCGGAAAAUCCACCCGCCCAACGGGUGGGCGUCCGGUGGAAACUGUGUGGCUUGGGACCGGAAGGCGCGACGGGUACGUCCGGGGUAGGAGUGAAAUCCUGUAAUCCUGGACGGACCGCCGAUGGCGAAAGCACGUCGCGAGGACGGAUCCGACAGUGAGGGACGAAAGCCAGGGUCUCGAACCG